UCUGGAGAUCCACUCCACCGGAGUUUCCUAUGUGAGCCCAGAUUAUGGGGCUCUCAGUUAGAAGAAAGUGAUUUCUCACUAUCCCAUAUUUUAGCAAAGGAAAUGGAACAAACUGUGCCGUCUCCUCCCCCGUGGUUCCCAGUACUGCUUUGUGUGUGCAAUGACUGUCAAACCAAGGUGUGUGCUUUCCAGCACUCAGGUGGCCCUUCUGCCUCUGCUGUAGGGCCAGAUGUGCAUCUCCAGAGCAUUGUAUUGCUGCCACCCCAACAGCUGUGCAUGUAUGAACACAGAAGUGGGCCCAGGGGUAACUCAAAAGAAGAAAAGUAGACUAAUCGCCAUUGCAUCCUGCUGUAUGUGUGUCCGAGUAAACAAUCACACAUGAACCUCUCAGGCAAGUGAAAACAACCUGGACAAUUUUGGGCUACAUGAUGCUUCUUCAUAAAGGCUGACACUGGUUUAAAAAAAAAAAACAAUUUGUUUUCUUACACAUAAUCAGCAUGUAUCUGUAAAGCUGCAGUCACUCACAGUAGUAUACAUGGGAUGAAAAACCUCCAGGAAGGACAGAAUUCAAAUACAUGAAAGAGAAAUUGUUUCAGGUAAACUGCUGAAUUUUCUUCAGGCAAAGUUCUUUUGAACGAUACUAGAUGCAAAUAAGUUACAACUAUCACAUUAUUAAAGAAGGUUUUGCUGCUAAAAGACCAUGAAAACAGAUAAGUCAUAAAGCUACAUUAGGACCUUGCUGGUUUAUUAGGCUUGAAGAAAUGGUUUUCUUAUAUUUCAUCAAGAUAUGUUACCUCUAGAUGUGAGGAUGUGUACACAUUGCCACACAUGUAAAAAUAUAUGCCUGAUGUUCUUACGUACCAACAUUUUGGCAGUCAGUUGAAUAUUACCCAAUCAAUAACCACCACUGGCCUUCAUAAAUGCUUCAGGAAAUUGCAUCUUUUUUCUCUGAUUCACCUACAGAUUUAAUUUUGUGCCUGAAACCUAUAAUCAGUUAUGGCUUUCUAUUAACAAAUGUUUCAAAUUAGGGAGGAGGGUGGUAAGAGCUGAGAUUCUGGGAUUUGUAUUGUUACGAGCACUUUUUUUGUUCCAUAUAUGUAAUUGUUUGUCAUUCCUAAUUACAGGUUGUGAGCUAUAUGAAUAACUGCCUAUUUUAUUCACAAAA
Meleagris gallopavo (turkey) is the source of this 1165-nucleotide non-coding RNA. The record is from RefSeq and is a predicted model, not a curated record. NCBI's taxonomy places the organism in Eukaryota, Metazoa, Chordata, Aves, Galliformes, Phasianidae.